GACGAACGCUGGCGGCGCGCUUAACACAUGCAAGUCGAACGGAAAGGCCUGCUUUCCCUUGUGGAUUGCGGGUACUCGAGUGGCGAACGGGUGAGUAACACGUGAGUGAUCUGCCCCCAACUUGGGUAUAAGCCUGGGAAACUGGGUCUAAUUCCCGAUAGGACUGCAGGGUGGUGCCUGUGGUGGAAGACGAUUUUCUAGUGGUUGGGGAUGAGCUCGCGGCCUAUCAGCUUGUUGGUGGGGUAAUGGCCUACCAAGGCGGCGACGGGUAGCCGGCCUGGGAGGGUGGACGGCAACAUUGGGACUGAGAUACGGCCCAGACUCCUACGGGAGGCAGCAGUGGGGAAUAUUGACAAAGGGGCGGAAGCCUGAUGCAGCGACGCCGCGUGGGGGAUGACGGCCUUCGGGUUGUAAACUCCUUUCGACAGCGAGGAAGCCACCUGGUUGGAAGGGUGGUGACGGUAGUGGUAGAAGAAGCACCGGCUAACUACGUG
RNAcentral lists this ribosomal RNA (494 nucleotides) under uncultured bacterium. Its description in RNAcentral is "partial 16S ribosomal RNA". It matches the Rfam family "Bacterial small subunit ribosomal RNA", at positions 28 to 507 of the family's 1533-position model. The record is from RNAcentral.